GUGAUCACUUCUGCUGCACAUAUACAUAACAUUUAGCAAUACAGAAAAAAUUAGAAUGGCCCCUGUGCAAGGAUGACACACAAGUUUGUGAAGUGUUCCAUGUUUUU
RNAcentral lists this small nuclear RNA (107 nucleotides) under Catagonus wagneri (Chacoan peccary). Lineage: Eukaryota; Metazoa; Chordata; Mammalia; Artiodactyla; Tayassuidae. The record is from RNAcentral.